GCACCUUCGUGGUGUGACUGCGUACCUUUUGUAUAAUGGGUCAGCGACUUAUAUUCAGUGGCAAGGUUAACCGUAUAGGGGAGCCGUAGCGAAAGCGAGUCUUAACUGGGCGCUCAGUCUCUGGAUAUAGACCCGAAACCGGGUGAUCUAGCCAUGGGCAGGUUGAAGGUUGAGUAACAUCAACUGGAGGACCGAACCGACUAAUGUUGAAAAAUUAGCGGAUGACUUGUGGCUAGGGGUGAAAGGCCAAUCAAACUCGGAGAUAGCUGGUUCUCCCCGAAAGCUAUUUAGGUAGCGCCUCGGACGAAUACUACUGGGGGUAGAGCACUGUUAAGGCUAGGGGGUCAUCCCGACUUACCAACCCUUUGCAAACUCCGAAUACCAGUAAGUACUAUCCGGGAGACACACGGCGGGUGCUAACGUCCGUCGUGGAGAGGGAAACAACCCAGACCGCCAGCUAAGGUCCCAAAGUAUUGCUAAGUGGGAAACGAUGUGGGAAGGCUCAGACAGCUAGGAUGUUGGCUUAGAAGCAGCCAUCAUUUAAAGAAAGCGUAAUAGCUCACUAGUCGAGUCGGCCUGCGCGGAAGAUGUAACGGGGCUAAGCAAUACACCGAAGCUGCGGCAAUGUCUUUUAGAUAUUGGGUAGGGGAGCGUUCUGUAAGCCGUUGAAGGUGAAUCGUAA
RNAcentral lists this ribosomal RNA (682 nucleotides) under Vibrio cholerae. Its description in RNAcentral is "partial 23S ribosomal RNA". It matches the Rfam family "Bacterial large subunit ribosomal RNA", at positions 579 to 1266 of the family's 2925-position model. Lineage: Bacteria; Pseudomonadati; Pseudomonadota; Gammaproteobacteria; Vibrionales; Vibrionaceae. The record is from RNAcentral.